Molecule: ribosomal RNA, 560 nt
Filed under: Brevibacterium sp.
Lineage: Bacteria; Bacillati; Actinomycetota; Actinomycetes; Micrococcales; Brevibacteriaceae
Description: bacterial SSU rRNA
Rfam family: Bacterial small subunit ribosomal RNA
Source: RNAcentral
AACGUUGGGCACUAGGUGUGGGGGACAUUCCACGUUCUCCGCGCCGUAGCUAACGCAUUAAGUGCCCCGCCUGGGGAGUACGGUCGCAAGGCUAAAACUCAAAGGAAUUGACGGGGGCCCGCACAAGCGGCGGAGCAUGCGGAUUAAUUCGAUGCAACGCGAAGAACCUUACCAAGGCUUGACAUACACUGGACCGUUCUGGAAACAGUUCUUCUCUUUGGAGCUGGUGUACAGGUGGUGCAUGGUUGUCGUCAGCUCGUGUCGUGAGAUGUUGGGUUAAGUCCCGCAACGAGCGCAACCCUCGUUCUAUGUUGCCAGCACGUGAUGGUGGGAACUCAUAGGAGACUGCCGGGGUCAACUCGGAGGAAGGUGGGGAUGACGUCAAAUCAUCAUGCCCUUUAUGUCUUGGGCUUCACGCAUGCCACAAUGGCUGGUACAGAGAGAGGCGAACCCGUGAGGGUAAGCGAAUCCCUUAAAGCCAGUCUCAGUUCGGAUCGUAGUCUGCAAUUCGACUACGUGAAGUCGGAGUCGCUAGUAAUCGCAGAUCAGCAACGCUGCGG